GGGCUCUCUUGGGUCCCCAGUGCAUGGGCUGGAGUGUGGCCCCUGGCGGAGCCCUGGAGGCCGGCUCAGCUUCCUGCCCCCUUCCAGCCUGGAGCAGCCCGAGGGCGCAGCAUUCCUGGGACAGGCCUGAGCCCUGUGGUGGGCUGAGUUGAGUCCCCAGAAAGGAUCUAUGAAAGAUAAAAUGUGGUGUGAGGACACGGCCCAGCCCCACCAUCGUCUUCCAGCCCCACCAUCGUCUUCCAGCCCCACCAUCGUCUUCUUGGACUCUCUGGGUAGCACCACGCUGUGGGUGCUGCUCUCCUCUGUGUCCCAAACGACUUUAUGCCUCACUUUAUCGGGUUUUGGCUGUGACUUGGAGCCUCACCAAGCUCCCUUUUCCUCUGUCUCCCAUUCUCCUCUCCAGGCCAGGGUGGCUUCCCCAGCCCUCCUCCCCGGGUCCUGCCUGUGCGGAGCUUUCCUCCCAGGAGGGAGGUGAUACUGACUUGAGAUCCUAUGGGUGUUUUGUUUGUGGCUGGGCCUGGCCGACCCUCUCUCCACGGCCUUAGAUCACACUCUAGGUGGACAGUACAGUCGUCCUCAAUACUGAGCCUCUUUGGAACAUACCCACUGAUGGUGGUUCACAAGCUACCCACGGCCACAAGCUGACCCAUAUCUCCGUGAAAUUAAAAAAUACUGUGAAAGGAAAAAGAGCCAAUGUCAUGUGGAUAAUGAAGUGUCAGCCACUGAAAAAUCUCAAAAUAAUAAA
RNAcentral lists this long non-coding RNA (745 nucleotides) under Pongo abelii (Sumatran orangutan). RNAcentral describes it as "lincRNA". The record is from RNAcentral. Lineage: Eukaryota; Metazoa; Chordata; Mammalia; Primates; Hominidae.